RNAcentral lists this ribosomal RNA (305 nucleotides) under uncultured bacterium. Its description in RNAcentral is "bacterial SSU rRNA". It matches the Rfam family "Bacterial small subunit ribosomal RNA", at positions 337 to 658 of the family's 1533-position model. The record is from RNAcentral.
UCCUACGGGGGGCAGCAGUCGGGAAUAUUGCGCAAUGGAGGAAACUCUGACGCAGUGACGCCGCGUAUAGGAAGAAGGUUUUCGGAUUGUAAACUAUUGUCCACAGGGAAGAAAAAAGACUGUACCUGUGAAGAAAGCUCCGGCUAACUACGUGCCAGCAGCCGCGAUAAUACGUAGGGAGCAAGCGUUAUCCGGAUUUAUUGGGUGUAAAGGGUGCGUAGACGGGAAAUUAAGUUAGUUGUGAAAUCCCUCGGCUCAACUGAGGAACUGCAACUAAAACUGAUUUUCUUGAGUGCAGGAGAGGU